Molecule: non-coding RNA, 46 nt
Organism: Schistosoma mansoni
Lineage: Eukaryota; Metazoa; Platyhelminthes; Trematoda; Strigeidida; Schistosomatidae
Source: Rfam
GCAUUGAUGAGGAGUUCCAUAAUAGAAUGAAACGGCCGUCCAGUGC